Molecule: ribosomal RNA, 397 nt
Filed under: uncultured bacterium
Lineage: Bacteria
Description: bacterial SSU rRNA
Rfam family: Bacterial small subunit ribosomal RNA
Source: RNAcentral
AUUGAACGCUGGCGGCAUGCCUUACACAUGCAAGUCGAACGGCAGCACGGGAGCAAUCCUGGUGGCGAGUGGCGAACGGGUGAGUAAUAUAUCGGAACGUGCCCAGUCGUGGGGGAUAACGUAGCGAAGCUACGCUAAUACCGCAUACGAUCUACGGAUGAAAGCGGGGGAUCGCAAGACCUCGCGCGAUUGGAGCGGCCGAUAUCAGAUUAGCUAGUUGGUGGGGUAAAAGCUCACCAAGGCGACGAUCUGUAGCUGGUCUGAGAGGACGACCAGCCACACUGGAACUGAGACACGGUCCAGACUCCUACGGGAGGCAGCAGUGGGGAAUUUUGGACAAUGGGCGCAAGCCUGAUCCAGCAAUGCCGCGUGCAGGAUGAAGGCCUCGGUUGUAACU